AGUGCGCAUUUAAGAACUCACCCCUCCGACCGCCUAUUGAAAAAGAGUCGGAACUUUUAAGCUACCGGCUAUCGGAAAAUCUAUCACGAUUCAUGGGAAUUCUUCCAUUAAAAAGGAGGAAAAUUCAAGAAUUCGAUUAUGCGUUUAAUUUUUAAGAAAAGUUCAUUGAACUUGUUGAUGUUCUUGAUGGUUCAAGUGAUGAUGUCCGAUCAAAACCCUAAACCCUAAAUCAAUUGAUCUAUCUAUUGGUACUCUUCUCAUUAUCUUGAUAUUCUUCCAAAGAACUCGAUUUUGGAUGUUGGAAUUCAAGAAAUCGAUUUUGCAUGUUGAACUUUUAAGAAAAUUUCAACAAGUUGUUUUUUUCAAAUUUUUUUUUUUAAAAAAAGCAAGUUAUGUUUUCAUCCUGUCAGUGUAUGUUAAGGAUGUUCAAGAAUUUUUUUAACUGAGAAACUGGAAUUGAAAAAAAGAACGUGGAGUUGUUCUUGAAGGACCCACUGCGCAACUAUAUAAAAAAAUUAAUUUGUUUAAUUAUAAGUAAGUUGUGAUUUGUAGUAUUUUGAAUGAAGACACUCAAUUGUAGACUUUUUGACUUUUGAUUGUUUCUAAAAAAUGGAAAAUUGUAGCCUAACUUUGAUUUGUAGUAGUUUGAAUGAGUAUACUUUUUUAUGUAUCCUUUCUGUCAAAAGAUAUCAACUUCCCUCCUUCAGGUUAGAGUUACUGAGUUAGUAUCUUUUCUAUUCUUUGGAGUAAUAAAAAAAGAGAAAUAUAUUAAUCUUGGAUCUUAGAGGAAGUAACUUCAUUUGAACAUUUAACACCUACACUAAUGCUCCAACAGUUUUAAUAAAUACUAUAAAUCAUUAAUUAGAAUGAGGGGGUUAAGGAAAAGCUAGAAUAGGCUCUGAGGAAGUGACAAAAUUCUUGUAUCUCUUUGAUGAGUGGAGGAAGUGGGAGCACAUGUAACCAGAGGACUGCAUCUGGUUUCUCUUAGUUUUCGACUGCAGACCAUGGACUAGAUCAAACUUGAGAACUGUAGCACUUUUUAGGAUUACUGAUUUUUGUUUCAACUGAUUACAUUGUCUGAUUCUGUAGACAUUCUGCUAUGAACUGGAUAGGAAACUAUUGACUUCAAUGACAUGCUAUUUGUUAAAAGUGCUGGUCAUCACCUGCCCCUACUUUGUUGUACCAUAUGUAGGUUAAGAGAGGAUUGGUUUGACUAAUCGCCACAAAAAAAGAAAAACAUGUCACUUGUUCAUUUUUGUUCCAUGGUAGAUAUGCAAUCAAUUUGGCAGAGAUUAUGUGCAGCAUUUAACUCCCUUUGCUGGCACCAUUGAUACUGAUUGUGUUAAUCUGAUGAAGCUAUUUUGAUGUGUUUUUCAAGAAUAUCUUGUGGUGACAAGUUGGUUCUUAGCUCUAUUUCUGAUAUUUCUUUGUUGGAAUUGUUACCAAAUCUCAUGGGAGGCCUAAUAGAUAUUGUAAGGUUUUGAAGGUAAAACUCUUUUGAGUUAUAGUAAGUAGUCGACAUUAGGAUAGGUAUAAAACUACUAACCUGGUCUUUGAAGUUUUAUCUGGCCAUUGUUAACAGGAUGGCAAGUGUUUUGUACCUUGGAAUUGAUGAUUAUAGACAAGAUGUUGGUAUAACAGGUGAUUUUGUAUAAGCCUACCUGAUAAUUGAGUUGACUGCUGCUGGCUAAUAAGGAAAUUUCUAGGGUUUUUUCUUUUUGCAGUAAUUGUUCGUGAUGUAUUUUACAACUUACCUGUUCGAAGGAAGCAAAUGCACUCCAAGUUCUUCUAGUUUUCUCAAAAUCAAACAAGUAAAAAAUAUUGCUUUACAUACUUUACUUCUAAAGCUGUACUCUGAUCUGAUUGAUCUUUUGGUGUGCAUAUAUAAUCUUGAAGUCCAAGUAGGGUCUUGCAUUCUCCAAAAGAGUCUGCUAGGAAUCUCCCUUGUGCAUCGCAGUGCCUCCUUCAAAAUUGUUGAUAUUGAAAGUGAGGAUGACCUGCUGUUGUCUAGUGGGUUUGGAAUUCAUCUGAGUUCCCUUAAUAAAUUGAAUGCAAGUGUUGGUGCAUUCGAACUUUCAGGAUAACUCUCAGGUCCUGGUGUUUAAACAGUGAACCUAUGCAGCCCCAAAUUGAUGGAUAAAGAGAUGUGAUAAGUCAUCUUUUCUACACUUUGUUUAUUGACUUUUUGAUUUCUGACCAAGUAUUUUUUAAAAUGAUAUGGUUCUUUGGCUUUUCUCUCUGGUUUUCUUGAAAUUCCUAAUAGAUUGUUUUUGCAUACAUUGGGCAUGCUUGUUGAUAAGUUUCUGAAGCCAUUCUGGAGGAUUUCUCCCAUUGAUAUUACCAAGUGGCUUAACUAUAUCUUUCUCAGAUUUGGCAACUGGAGCUUUGCAUAUGAGAGGCACCGUCAUAGAUAUGAGGUGGAUCCUGAUAUGGUGCAGCAAUUUGAAGAUGCUGGCCUUUCUUUCACUGGCAAAGAUGAAAGUGAUCGCCACAUGGAGGUAUCUGUUGCUAUAGACAUUGGGACCUGAAUUGUGAAGGUGGAUGACAAUGGAUCUGGUGUCUCACGAGAUGGACAGAUGCUGAGGAGAGAAUGAUAUGAGAAUCUUAAAAUUAGUUGCUACCACGAGCUAUGUUCUCCUCUAGGGUGGAUGGGGACUCACAUAAAUGGAUUGUCGCAGGAAAUCGAGGUAAAACAGAUGAGCUUAUAAGGAAGAAGAAGAGUAGAAGAAGUCAUUCAGCUCCUCCAUUUUACCAAGACAAGAAGUUCUUUGCCACAACUGAGUCUUCAAGAAAGGCAGCAGGAAAUAACAACAUUUAAACUGUUUAUGAUGUGCUCAUGCCAGAAUCUAGAGCUGUAAGGAGACUGCAUCAUUCUGCAGAAGCUAUCUGCGUGGAGCUUCCACUCAGUCAUCCCAUCAAUGUGCUCAAUUUUCCACCCAAAAUGUGGUAAAGGGUGUGUUCUCUGAUGAAAGGCCAAGUGUUAAAAUGAAAUUUGUUAACAUCUGGAAUAGAAAAUUACAAACUCAAGGGGAUUGCACAAGUACAUGCGAUGGGGAGUCAAAAGAAGUGUUGCUGCCACGUCAUUGCUUUGUGUGGUCGACCGUGUAGCCACAUCAAUAGCCUGCUCCAUACAUUUCUCCUGAAGGAACAUUCAGCAAACAAAUGAUCUCUACUUUCAUCAUGUCCCUGGCAAAAUACACAAGUGUUUCCCACAUCCAUUCCCCAACUCGACAGUUUAUAGCCGGUGAGUAAUCUAUUCUGAAACUGCAGCCACAUAGUGAAUAUGGCUUUGCCACUUGGGUCAUUUUUAAACAUAAAACAUUUCCAUUCGAUUCUUGGUUGUUGGCCAAUAAGCUGGAUAUACAUUUGCCUGAUGAUACUGCUAGUUCCUUUGGGAACUAUUUGACUCUGGUCUAUCACAGUCCUUGCUUAAAUUAUCUUCCUUACCAACCAGGAAGCUUGUUGUGGAAUAGGCAUAGUAUUGAUAUGCUGAUAUUUUAUAUAAUAAGAGUGGAUCCACCUUAUCCGUAGCUUAUCCAACUUGUGAGCAAGGUCCCAGUGAUUUUUUGCAAUUGCCGCUCUAUUUCAUAAGUUGAGAUUGAUGAGAUUUAGUCCACCUAUGGAUUUAGGGGUACAAACUCUCUCCCAGGACACCAAGGCCUUCUUGGUUAUCACAUUAAUCCCAUAUAUAGCUCCUACAGUAAGCUUCCACAGCCUUCAUUAGCUUUGUAGGGAUCUUGCUUAUGUUUAUUCAAAGUUUCUUGGAUUCUGGGACAAAAUGGAGGGACUUCCGUCCAUAGAUUACAGUUGAGUACCUUAGCUAUAUGGACAAGAUGAUGAACUUUUACCU
Solanum tuberosum (potato) is the source of this 3850-nucleotide long non-coding RNA. RefSeq lists it as uncharacterized. NCBI's taxonomy places the organism in Eukaryota, Viridiplantae, Streptophyta, Magnoliopsida, Solanales, Solanaceae. The record is from RefSeq and is a predicted model, not a curated record. The transcript has 9 exons.